AGGCUGUUCAAAGCCUUUGAGCAGUGCUGCGGAGAGGCUGCUGCUGUCAGAGCCGGGCUGAUGAAGGCUGCAGUCCCCAACCAGGGUGCACGUGCAGCCCUGGAAUAUUAAAUCUAAUGGGAAGACGAUAAUGAUUAAUUAUCCCACCCGUCUACAGGGGGGAAUAAUUUUCUCCUUACUGGAAUAACUAAAACAGCUUCUUUUACAUGGUAAUGGCACUUUGCUGUCACACGGCAUCUUAAAUCCCAGCACUUUGCACCUAUCUGACUAAUUGGGACGCAGCCUUGCCAGGGCUGGCUGAGGCAUCCCUCCAGGAUUGCUCUGCCCACUGCCGAACUGCGAUCUUCUCUGGGGUCAAACACAAACGCUGCCAAAGAUCAGCCUAAAGUGCCCAACCAGGGCAGGAAGCCGAGGUACCUGGAGGCACCAAGCCUGGCUGGAGCAAGCAGGAAAAUCCCGAGGGCUGAUUUCUGCAAGAGGGCCUCGUCUGCAAGUCACGGUUCUAGCCAGAGCAAGCUGUAAUGGAGAGAUGAGACGUCCAGGGAUGCUGAAGCACACAGCUCCCACCACUGCUGGAGGAGUUCAAACGCUUGGCUGACCUUCAGACCGCGGCGCAGAAACGUCUCCAGGUUUCAGGCAUCGCUGACAGCUGAGGGCACCUCGACACCCUGCGAGGAGGUGUAAGGAUGAGAGAAGCUGAUUUGUGGCGGCCGUCCCCCAGCUCUGAUGUGAUCACCAGCUCUCUUGUUGCAGUCCCAGCAGACCCAGCACCGUUCCCAUCUCAGAAAGCCCUUUCACGAUUAUUACUUUAUCGCUGUCACGGUGCCAGGAACACCAAUUGUUUCCAACCUUUAGGAAACGAGCCAAAGAGGGCGGCUGAGUAUUUUCCUGUAGGACAUCCAGCUGUGAUGAUGCCAUGAGUAAAGUUGAGCUAAGGGACUCGCAACGGAGCCCUCGGGUGGGGAUGGAGCGGGGAAGCAAAGGCUCAGACACAACAACCUCCCCAAAAAGGGGGUGGCAGCACCCUCACCUGCAGGACAAACCUAGCGAGGGGGGAAUUCCUGGUGUUUAUUUUUCACGGUGCUGCUCAGGCAGAGAUGGUUGGGAAGCAGACCAGCAGCAGAGGGGCAUCUGGUGGUGCCCAGUCACCAGGUGGAGCAGAGGCGAGCGCAGCCCGUGUGCGUUUCCACCAGGCACCUCGGUGUGCCAGGCGGAACGCAGCAGUGGGUCAAGCAUCAAACCUGAUCACUGUUUCUCUACACAUGAUAAUUUAUGAUCCUGGUCUUAGCACGUAUUUUCAGGAACUGCCAUUUGAAUUAGGAUGAAAACAGAAAUUAACUCGCUUUGACUACUAGGAAGAACCAAGGUGGAUUUACUGAAUGUUUUCCAAACGUGCUGUAUUAGGGAUGGCAGCGUAUGGCUCCUGGGUGCCUGAACCCACAAACUGUGUGUGUGUGGCUGGAUAACCCACAUCCCACAGCAGAGGACAGAGGGAGCUGGCCAGGGCUGCUGGCCCUUGGUAGAGGGGGAGCCUCGUGACUCUGAAAUGAUCCAGGAGGUGCUGCCACAUCUCCGAGCUACGUGAGCAUACAUUGCAUGGCCAUCAGCCAUCGGAUGGUGGCAGCCCAUAGCUCUGCCAGGAAUGAAAGACACCAGGCAGAGGGAGAGAAUCACUCUUUCAGCUACCUAAGCCCUGAUUGCAGCCUCUGAAACUGAGACCGUUGUUGCAUACGUGCUAUGGUCAGGUCACCGCAGGACUGUGCCAUUUGGUCAUCGUCUCAUUUGCUUUCUGAGAAUACUGAAGUUUUACCCAGGCUGAGAGUUUCAAAGGAUCCUCCCCCGCAGAAAUUUGCAAGGGGUUUUACAGCAAUCCAGUAAGAGUGUGGAAACAGCAGCCGAUGAACAGCACAGAGCACUUCGUUAAUGCAGAGCCACUAAUGAAAUCUAGCAGAGCGCCAGACCUGAUCAUGACAAAUAUAUUUGUCAACUCCUUUCAAUAAGGAAGGAAUUAAGCAAAAUUGCAACCUGCUGCUAGAUAUUCUCUUCAAAGAGAAGGGGAGGGAAAUCAGCUGUAAAUUAUUCCCUGUGAAUUACCACUUAGCUCUCCCGAUGCCUGAUGGAGAGGCCACGGGUGCUUUUGGGCAGGGCUGAGCCCAGGCUGGGCAUGGCGAGCUGCAGCUGCCCUGGGAGAGGUGGCAGUAGCGGAUCACCAGCUCCACUGACCCAGCACAGUGGUGCUCAAGCACUUUUUGCUGGGGUUGUGACACUCUGCACUGCUUUCACCUGGCCUGGGUGCCCACACAGUCCAUUGAAGUCACCUCCUCCAUCCUUCGGCGUGCCCAAAAUGAAUAAGACAGCCUGGCUGCACCCGCAUGUUCCUGACAUCACCUCUUUCCUGCUGUUUGUUGGUUGUACUUUUUACGGAAUAGGUUUAAGUUUCUCGUUUGUUGGAGACAGGGCGAGCAAGGCUGCAGAGAGCAAUGUACAAAGUGGGAGCCUUAUAAUGGAAUUUAAAAAUUGAUGAGGAAAACUGGAACAAUCUAAACUGAUGUUAACUGAGUAAUUAGGCAACAUCAGGGCUGCAGUUUCUUUCAUGCAUAAGUGGCCAUUAGGCAGCUACUACCCACACAACCUUUUUCCUCUCUCCUGGUCCUACAAGGACAGAUUAAGCCUGGAGCCCAAGCAUCCAUGAGCUGUGAACAGGGUCAGAGCGAGGGCUUUGCACAGGGAGAAACCUCAGCUGCAGGGUCCCACUUUGGACCCCCAGACUACCCAGCUAAUUGAUGUAAGGGAUUUCCGUUUCUCUCCCAGGUGUGUGGCCAUGACAUUUUAUCCUUCCUAUCUGAGAAACUGCAGGAUGGGGCAACAGGCAGAGCCCCAGGCCCAGCACAAACCCUGCACACAUGGUCCCACUCCCAGUGAAUGCCUCCUGGGUGGCUGCAGCCCUGGCAGCUGGCACACAGAGCUGUGCCCUGCUCCCCUCCCUCCGUGGUUAAUUAUUCCAGCAUUUCAUUACUCACCUCACUUGGUUUCUUCGUUUCUCCUCCAGUGACGAAUGAAUUUCCAGGUGCUCUGUCGAGUGCUGUAGAGCGGAACCAGCGCAGCCGCUGCGUGGCCGUAAUUCGCUUGGACAGCUGCACGGCCGCUGCUGCUGCCUCCUUCCUCCCCACCACAUCCCCCUGGUGCAGACGGGGUGUGAGGAGGAAGAACUUACCCUGCCCAGAGCCACCUGCCCUCCUCAUCCUCAUGUGCAAUUGCAUCACGUCUGCACCCCAAAACACAGACCCCAGACAUUGCAUGGCUUUAAGCACAACAGGGUUGGGCAGCACCAGCUUGGCAAAGUCACACCGAGCAGGGUCUGUGCGAUCUGGGAGCCAGCAGCAUGUGGGGUUAAAACAAAAACCAUCUUGAGCAUCCUGAGUGGGGCCCAGCUGGACUAGACGAGGCAGGGUGGCUGCUUCAUCUAAUUCAAGCAAUUAGCGGGGUGUUUCCUUUCGCCGGCCUAAGUUCUGUUGAAAAGCAAAGGGAACUGCAGCCGUGGGUGGACUGUAUGUAUGGGGCACCCCCACGAGUUAAUCAGUCAUUUACAAAAUGCUGAUAUAAAUUGCUGUUAAUUAGCUCUGUAAAUGCUUAUUCUGCUGGCUAAAUUAGAACCUGCUGGAAGGGGUCAGAUGUGCCAGCACAGCUUAAUGUUAUUUAUUGAUUUCUAAGGGGACUCUGUGGAGGUUUGGGGAGCCCUGAGAGACAGGUGAGCUCCACAGGCCUCUCGUUUUGUUAUUUGGUUUUCCUCACCUGUUCUCUUUCUGUUGCUUCCUUUGUGUUUGGCUGAUUCGGCACUGCUGAACAUCAUGGCAGCAUCCUCAGACCUGGAGACACAGCGCUGGCUGACCCAAUGGGGCAGGUUUUCUCCUCUCCAGCUUCUGUUUCCCUCUACACGAGCUGGGUUUGGACUUGCAAACCCUGCUCCCCAAACCGUCUCUACCACAUCUUCACACCAUGCUCAGUGCUAUGGCACCCAGGGCAGCCCACAGCCCUUGUUCAUACACUGACAGUCUGCUGGUGCCCAAGGGGACGUACUUUAAGGACACUAAAUCAGAAGAUUACAGUGCCCAAAGUGGGCAAUAGCAUAAAACUGGGCCUGCAGCAGGGGCCCGGUGGCCUUGCCCCGUGACAAGGCCUGGCUGCAGGACCCCAGCCAAAAUGGCGCCCUCGUGAACCAAAAGGGUGACCAGAGACCUCCCAAAGGUGCUGACAAUCCUUCCUCCGUCCGUGUCCUCCUAAAUCAAACAGGAACAGUGCUGUUGCCCCAGAAUUCAAAGUAAAAAAAUGUCUGAGGUUCACUGGGCCAUGGCCAGGCUGUGCCCAGCUCCAGCGCUGGCCAACACACGGCCCAGCGUGCUGCCUGCUGAAACCUCUCGCUGCCUUCCUGCCAACCUCAUUUCAGGUAAACCAGCCGAGGCCAGCUGAGAAGAGAAUGAAACGAGAAAGACGAAGCAUCUGGCUUAGAAAUCAGACAAAUAAAAGGCAACGGGAAAGCCACAGAGAGCAGCAAACUCGCAUCAGCGAAGCCGGCGUGGGCAGAGCAGGAGCAGGCAGCAGGACAUCAAAGAGCGUGGAACACCCUUUUUAUAAAACAAAUUUUGUCAAUCAGCGCUGAGACACAAGCUAAUUGCAGUCAGUCACCGGCGAGGGGGAGGGAGGAGGCGUUCAGCAGAGAACACAACCUAAUUAAAGCAAAUUGGGGCAUCCUGGAGCAGACCCACCGGAGCUGACAGGCAGCCUGCAGAAGCCGGGGGCUGCGCAGACCCCGCUGUCCCACCACCCAGCAGGGCUCUGCUCACAGCCCUGUUUCUUCCUGCCUGCAGCGCUGAAUAGGCCCGAUAAAAACCUGCUGGAAAGGCAAAAUAAUCAAUUCUGCACACAGCCAGGGAUUAACCCCGAGCUCUGGGAUGGGGCAGUGACAAGUCGUUAUUUCCUGCACCACGCUGAGGCUGCGACCUGGCCCUACAGCAGCGGCUGGGGAGGAACCACCACCUGCACGGAUGGAGAGGAAAAGCAGGGAUAUCUCACGUUGGUGGUGCUGUAACUCAAGGAACAGCUCUUUAACGUGGUCCCAGGGACUGCUGGACUCCACCGUUUUGGUAGGGGCAUGGAGAUCUUUCUUCCAGGCUGCUCACUGCUGCAAUUAAAUGAUUAAUUUGUUGUCUGGCUCUACCUUUCUCUAGGGCUCAAAGGGAUUAAAGUUCUGCCCUGUUUAGUUUCUAAGCUCCGAAAUACUUCAUUUGGAGUCUCGGCCAGAAGAAAGGGACUGGAAGGGGACAGAAGCCUGAGGGUCGUCACCCCAAGGUUGCCCUCCAAUGCUCCAGCAGGAAAAGCAAACCACUGGAAUCCCUGAGAUCAGGCUGAAUAUGGGUCAGAGCAAAAACAUGUUGACAAACUCUACUGGGGAAACCAGAAAUGAAAACGUGCCUAUUUAUCACUGAAAAAUUCAUCAACUUCAGACACACUCAGAAAGCACGACAGCAGACACGUAACAACAUAUUCAGUGUCCCUUUCCAACUAGAAAAUUCUCUGCCAAAUUAAUUUCCAACUUGAAGCAACGCGAAUUCAGCACCAGGCCUGGAUCAAGAGACAUUAACAGCAGUUAGUCUCACUUUGGGGAGCUGUGCUCCCGCCUUCAGUAGUAAAGUCGAGAUAUAAAUCACAGUUUCAAGGGUUUUGUUUGUUUCCUUGAGGAUCUUAAGUACCUGUUUUCAAAGGGGCUCUGCUGAUCUGCCGUGGUGGAGGACCCGUGAGCUCCCUGAGCCCUCCCAGCAGACCGAGCAUCAGCUCCCUGCUGGGGGGCAAGGGAGGGGGGGAAUGAGACCACAG
Molecule: non-coding RNA, 5871 nt
Organism: Anas platyrhynchos (mallard)
Lineage: Eukaryota; Metazoa; Chordata; Aves; Anseriformes; Anatidae
Source: RefSeq, a predicted model, not a curated record